RNAcentral lists this ribosomal RNA (442 nucleotides) under uncultured bacterium. RNAcentral's name for it is "partial 16S ribosomal RNA". It matches the Rfam family "Bacterial small subunit ribosomal RNA", at positions 338 to 795 of the family's 1533-position model. The record is from RNAcentral.
CCUACGGGUGACAGCAGUAGGGAAUCUUUCACAAUGGGCGAAAGCCUGAUGGAGCACCGCCGCGUGCAGGAUGAAGGCCUUCGGGUUGUAAACUGCUUUUAUAAGCGAGAAAUAUGAUGGUAACUUAUGAAUAAGGAUCGGCUAACUACGUGCCAGCAGCCGCGGUCAUACGUAGGAUCCGAGCAUUAUCCGGAGUGACUGGGUGUAAAGAGUUGCGUAGGUGGCAUAAUAAGUAGCUAGUGAAAUCUGGUGGCUCAACCAUUCAGACUAUUAGCUAAACUGUUAAGCUCGAGACCGUUAGGGGUAACUGGAAUUUCUAGUGUAGGAGUGAAAUCCGUAGAUAUUAGAAGGAACACCAAUAGCGUAGGCAGGUUGCUGGGACGGUUCUGACACUAAGGCACGAAAGCGUAGGGAGCAAACGGGAUUAGAGACCCUUGUAGUC